UGUGGACACGCGGUGUGACUCAUUGGGGAUCGUUGUCAUUAUCAUUUACCAGGGAGAUUGUGAAAAGGGAGUUUAUGCUUAAAUUGCAAGAAAGCAGCUCUUGUUAUGGCACCGGCGUGGGUCGCAGGCCCAUGAGAAAGGGCUGCCCUGGGCCUGCGAUUCGAAGCGUUGCCUCCGCAGGCCGGUCUGUGCGGGGCAGGGCGCUGCGGAGCUCGGACCCGUCAGCAACAGAACACAGGCGACGUCAGAUGUUGGAAGACGCAUGUCACAUCACCCGACUGGACACAGAACUGCGUCCAGGCCGCUGUUGGAACACCACGCACCUCUGCCCUGCUUCAAUGUUGUCAUGAUCACCAGGAUCCAUACUGAGGAACAAAGCCGUGUUCCUGAGGAAUGUAGAGAGUUCAUUCAGCAGCACCCCAGAACCUACACGCAUGCUUACACGCAUGAUGGUGAGAAACAGUGAGGAAAGUCACAGAAGAAGAUUCAUCAAAUGCUUCCUUUUCUGUAACUUAAUAAAGUAAAUUUAAGUU
Long non-coding RNA from Myotis brandtii (Brandt's bat), 533 nucleotides. RefSeq lists it as uncharacterized. Lineage: Eukaryota; Metazoa; Chordata; Mammalia; Chiroptera; Vespertilionidae. The record is from RefSeq and is a predicted model, not a curated record. The transcript has 2 exons.